RNAcentral lists this ribosomal RNA (968 nucleotides) under Amanita sp. 'instannea'. Its description in RNAcentral is "partial 28S ribosomal RNA". It matches the Rfam family "Eukaryotic large subunit ribosomal RNA", at positions 1 to 929 of the family's 3401-position model. The record is from RNAcentral. Lineage: Eukaryota; Fungi; Basidiomycota; Agaricomycetes; Agaricales; Amanitaceae.
UUGACCUCAAAUCAGGUAGGACUACCCGCUGAACUUAAGCAUAUCAAUAAGCGGAGGAAAAGAAACUAACAAGGAUUCCCCUAGUAACUGCGAGUGAAGCGGGAAAAGCUCAAAUUUGAAAUCUGGCAGUCUUUUUUUUCUUCUUUGGCUGUCCGAGUUGUAAUCUAGAGAAGUGCUUACCUGCGCUGGACCAUGUAUAAGUCUCCUGGAAUGGAGCGUCACAGAGGGUGAGAAUCCCGUCUUUGACAUGGACUGCCAGUGUGUUGUGGUGUGCUCUCAAAGAGUCGAGUUGUUUGGGAAUGCAGCUCUAAAUGGGUGGUAAACUCCAUCUAAAGCUAAAUAUUGGCGAGAGACCGAUAGUGAACAAGUACCGUGAGGGAAAGAUGAAAAGGACUUUGGAAAGAGAGUUAAACAGUAUGUGAAAUUGUUGAAAGGGAAACGCUUGAAGUCAUUUAUGUUGACUAGGGAUCAACCUAGCUAUUUUUUUUGCUGGGUGAAUUUCCUUGUCUGACAGGCCAACAUCAGUCUUGACUGCUGGAAAAGAGCGGAGGGAAUGUGGCACCUUUGGGUGUGUUAUAGCCCUUUGUCAUAUGUGGCAGUUGGGACUGAGGGAUGCAGCAUGCCGUGAGGCUGGGUUUUUGACCACGUUCAUGCUUAGGAUGUUGGCUUUUAAUGGCUUCAAUCGACCCGUCUUGAAACACGGACCAAGGAGUCUAACAUGCCUGCGAGUGUUUGGGUGGGGAAAACCCUUGUGCACAAUGAAAGUGAAAGUUGAGAUCCCUGUCAUGGGGAGCAUCGACGCCCGGACCUGAGCUUUUAGCGACGGAUCCGCGGUAGAGCAUGCAUGUUGGGACCCGAAAGAUGGUGAACUAUGCCUGAAUAGGGCAAAGCCAGAGGAAACUCUGGUGGAGGCUCGUAGCGAUUCUGACGUGCAAAUCGAUCGUCAAAUUUGGGUAUAGGGGCGAAAG